GUGAAAGCUGGAGUAAAUGCUUGUGUUAAAAUGUACCUCUUCUGUUUGAUGUCUAUGUGACUGCCCAGCUGGUCUUAUCAUUGUUGUUCAGGAUUUUAUGAGGUACUUGGGACAGUUUUAACUGUUGUUCAAGUUGCUUUUAGCUGUGACAGAGUUAGCGCUGUAUGUUUUAUAGUUGUGAAACCUGAAUCUUUUUCUUUUUUGUAUGUACUAAGAGAACGUGGGCUUGACUGCUUUGCAAAGACUUUUGUAGUUAAAUUUCACAGGGGUGACACCCAUUGAAAUGGAGGAAAAGAUGCAUAGUAGAAAUCAAAUUUUUGUUAAACUGAUGCUCCAUUACUCUGUUUUGUAGAUUCUCAAUCUGAUUCCAAAAGAAUCUGAUGGUGAACGUUUUGAAGAUGCUCUUGCUCGUGUUUGUCGCUGCGUCGGGGGUGGAGGAGCAACCGAAGCUGAUAGUGGUAGUGAUCUGGAAGUGGUAGCAGAUUCCUUCGCCGUUAAUCUCCGAUGUCCUAUGAGUGGUUCGAGAAUGAAGAUUGCUGGUAGGUUUAAACCUUGUGUUCACAUGGGAUGUUUUGAUCCGGAGGUAUUUGUGGAAAUGAAUCGGCGACCCAGGAAGUGGCAGUGUCCUAUAUGUUUGAAAAAUUACUCACUGGAGAAUAUCAUUAUUGACCCUUGCUUUAAUCGCGUGACU
Syzygium oleosum is the source of this 691-nucleotide long non-coding RNA. RefSeq lists it as uncharacterized. The record is from RefSeq and is a predicted model, not a curated record. The transcript is spliced from 3 exons. Lineage: Eukaryota; Viridiplantae; Streptophyta; Magnoliopsida; Myrtales; Myrtaceae.